RNAcentral lists this small nucleolar RNA (74 nucleotides) under Colius striatus (speckled mousebird). RNAcentral's name for it is "Small nucleolar RNA SNORD71". It matches the Rfam family "Small nucleolar RNA SNORD71". From Rfam's summary of the family: snoRNA HBII-239 belongs to the family of C/D snoRNAs. It is the human orthologue of the mouse MBII-239 described and is predicted to guide 2'O-ribose methylation of 5.8S rRNA on residue U14. Lineage: Eukaryota; Metazoa; Chordata; Aves; Coliiformes; Coliidae. The record is from Rfam by way of RNAcentral.
GGGGUGUUGGUGGGUGAAAAGCUGGAUGUGACCCAGCAAUGUGUGCUGGCAGCCCAGAAAGCCAACAGCACCCA